Molecule: small nuclear RNA, 114 nt
Filed under: Lachancea kluyveri NRRL Y-12651
Lineage: Eukaryota; Fungi; Ascomycota; Saccharomycetes; Saccharomycetales; Saccharomycetaceae
Source: RNAcentral
GUCCAAGACAUUUCGGUGUUUUGGACAUUUGGUCAAUUUGAAACAAUACAGAGAUGAUCAGCAGUUCCCCUGCAUAAGGAUGAACCGUUUUACAAAGAGAUUUACUUCAUUUUU